CUCAAUGAGAUUAACAAAUUGGGUACAAAUAACACAUUCCAGUAAUACAGUAAGGUUCAUAGUCCAAUUAACCGAAUCGACGCCUACAAUGCUAAUUUACUAAUGCUACAGUUAAUACAAGUUCAACAGGGUUCAAAAAAGAACUAAUGCAGGUUUCUGGGUCGGGAGAACCAACAAUAGUCGAUGGCAUCUCAGCACAUCCAAUUUGGAGAUAACCCGGAAACUCCAAGAAUACCAAGCACCUUGUGAGGUGUUGAUGACAAUAUCAGGUGGUACGGGAUUAUUUCCCACUCCUUGUCACCCUUCGGAACAUGUCUUUUAUGUUCUUUGAUCCUACCUCAGGCUUCAGUUUCUUUGCAGGUCUCCCUUUGCUUGAUUUGGCACUGCCAUUUCCUACGCCCCCCUGUAUUGACGCAUUUCACAAGCUUAGAGAACAUGGUGUGAGCGUUGAAAAAGGAUCAAGCAUUCUCAAGGAGUUUACCUCCGAGGGACAAGCUGGAGCAGGUACCGGAGAACUAUCAGCACAAAAUGACGUGUCAUUGGUUUUGGCCAUAUCAUUGAUCUCAUUGAUAUCUAAUCUGCAGUGGAGUGGAUUGUGCUAGCAUGAGAUAAAUGGACAAUACGGAACUACCAAUUCUUCUUUUCUUUUACUUUGCUGAGGGAACUACUGACUCUUGUCCAAAGAAAUAAGUCUUACUGCAACUUCUUGCAGAGUACCGUUAGCCAAGGUUCACCCUUCAGGUUUUCGCGAAUUAUUUGUACAGCCUCCUUCACUGUAGCACAAAUAGUAAAAAGAGCUCCAUAAGAGCAACACAGUUCACCUUAUCAAGAAAAUUUUAAGCUAAGGUUCUACAAUCUGACAUGGGUCAGGAAUUUCAAUUUUAUUGGAAUUUCUCAUAAUGAAGUACUCUCUCUGUUCCAAAAUAAGUGAGUCAACUUUAUACUAACUUUAGCACAAAGUGGAGUCACUUAAUUUGGGACGGAGGGAGUAGUACAUACCACAUGUACAGUAAUACUGGCACAAGGACAGGGUAAUCUCAGCUGUAUUACAGAAGCAAGGGUACCAACGAAGUUAUAUAACUUGAUCUAUCCCUUUUUCUGUACCCCUCCACUGGGCUUAGAUCAAUAUACAAUAAAGCUCCCUUAAGUUUACAGUCAAAAUUUGCAUGAAAAGAAAGUCCGAGGACUAUUGUCAUAGCUUAAGGCAAGUUGGAUAUAGAUCACACUAAUGGCCCAUGUUCAAUAAUAUGGUCAUAUAAAUGUGGAACUUACGAGCAACAUUUAAUUGUUUGAUUAAGAGAUGAACAGACACUUGCAAAAACAAACUGGGCAAUAAGAUGACGGCAAGUUACAGUGACAUACACAGUUCUCUUUCUCCUUGAGCAGCAUAAUUUUUACCUAACUUGGAGAUAGCCUCUUUUAUACUGUUUACCUGUAAAUGAGAUUGAGAGUACAUAUUUAGUUGUUGAUAGUACAGAGGAAGUGAAAAAGUAUGAUUUGGAAUUCAAUUCACCAACGAAGUUGUAAUUACGGAAACAAAUCAAAACAGAGUAGCAACUUAUCAUGAGAAACUGUUAUCCUUCUUGCUCUCAUUUAAGGAUUAAGUGAACUAGUGACGGCAGUGCAUAUCCAUUUUAUGUUCAUGUUUAUGCUUGUUGUUAGCUUUGACUGCCUGGUUUAGUGACUAGUGAUGCAUUUUAUCUUUUGUCUUGUUUUUGUCAGCGCCAACUCCACACACGAAGAUAACAUGACAAGAUGCAUUACAUUGGUUUCCCAAUGAAGUGGUAUAUCUUCAAAUAUUUUUUCACAAGAAACAGCUCAUCAGUAUAAUAAGCAGCCUCCUGCACUCAGAUGAUCAUGCUGUAGGACUGCUCACUAGUCAGUAGUCAUUACAGUGAACACUCGUCGCCUUCUCAGCAAUUGCUCUCUGACAUCUUAAUCACAGAGGAUUGCAGUACCCCAGCGG
RNAcentral lists this long non-coding RNA (1966 nucleotides) under Hordeum vulgare. RNAcentral describes it as "long non-coding RNA (HVUL_LNC005026)". Lineage: Eukaryota; Viridiplantae; Streptophyta; Magnoliopsida; Poales; Poaceae. The record is from RNAcentral.